This 253-nucleotide unclassified non-coding RNA is filed under the name Borreliella garinii. Its description in RNAcentral is "partial 5S-23S ribosomal RNA intergenic spacer". The record is from RNAcentral. Lineage: Bacteria; Pseudomonadati; Spirochaetota; Spirochaetia; Spirochaetales; Borreliaceae.
CUGCGAGUUCGCGGGAGAGUAAGUUAUUGCCAGGGUUUUUGUUUUAUACUUUAAACAUUGAUUUUAUUUUUUAUGUUUUUAGAUGUUCAUGUUUUUGAAUGUUUUAUUCAAAUAAUAUAAAAAAUAAAAUAUAUAUUGACAUGGAUUAAACAAAGAUAUAUAUUAUUCUAUGUUGCAUAAACAAAUUGGCAAAAUAGAGAUGGAAGAUAAAAAUAUGGUCAAAGUAAUAAGAGUCUAUGGUGAAUGCCUAGGA